GAUAAAUAUAAUUCCAGUAUUGGCUUCUCGCUCCCAAGCCCUAAGGUAUCUUUAUGUUCGGUGGGGCAUUGAUUUGGCAAAUAUGGUGGUUUUUGUUGGAGAAUCUGGGGACACAGAUUAUGAAGGAUUGCUUGGUGGGCUACACAAGAGUGUAAUAUUAAGGGGAGUUUGUAGUAGUGCAAGUAACCAACUCCAUGCCAACAGAAACUACCCUCUCACAGAUGUUAUAGCGUCAGACAGCCCCAAUAUUGUUCACACAGCUGAAGAAUGCACCAAGUCUGAUAUCCGGGGUUCCUUGCAGCAAUUAGCAUGUGUCAAGGGCUAGAUAGUCCCACACUUACCCUUCAUCAUUCAAAUUUGUUCUAGACCUUGUCUAUGUUGCUUUUAUCAUAAGGAGUACCCGGUUGCUUCCAUGCCAAGCAUCUCAUAAUUAUGGUUUUCUCAUCAUUUUUCGAUCCUCAAGAAGCUUGCUUGUGAGUAUUUCGUGUAGAUUCAAACCCCAUUUUACUUUCUACUUUUUCCAAUUUGUUUAUUCCCAUAUUGAGUCCAUCCUUGAGUGCUUUAUUGGCCUGCAAGUUUCUAAU
Molecule: unclassified non-coding RNA, 584 nt
Filed under: Hevea brasiliensis (rubber tree)
Lineage: Eukaryota; Viridiplantae; Streptophyta; Magnoliopsida; Malpighiales; Euphorbiaceae
Source: RNAcentral